RNAcentral lists this ribosomal RNA (482 nucleotides) under uncultured bacterium. Its description in RNAcentral is "partial 16S ribosomal RNA". It matches the Rfam family "Bacterial small subunit ribosomal RNA", at positions 30 to 507 of the family's 1533-position model. The record is from RNAcentral.
AUUGAACGCUGGCGGCAUGCCUUACACAUGCAAAUCGAACGGUAACGGGCCUUCGGGUGCCGACGAGUGGCGAACGGGUGAGUAAUACAUCGGAACGUGCCCGAUCGUGGGGGAUAACGAGGCGAAAGCUUUGCUAAUACCGCAUACGAUCUACGGAUGAAAGCAGGGGACCGCAAGGCCUCGCGCGGACGGAGCGGCCGAUGGCAGGUUAGGUAGUUGGUGGGAUAAAAGCUUACCAAGCCGACGAUCUGUAGCUGGUCUGAGAGGAUGAUCAGCCACACUGGGACUGAGACACGGCCCAGACUCCUACGGGAGGCAGCAGUGGGGAAUUUUGGACCAUGGGCGCAAGCCUGAUCCAGCCAUGCCGCGUGCAGGAUGAAGGCCUUCUGGUUGUAAACUGAUUUUGUACGGAACGAAAAGCCUUCUUUUAAUACAGGAUGGUCAUGACGGUACCGUAAGAAUAAGCACCGGCUAACUACGUG